UACGUAGGUGGCAAGCGUUGUCCGGAAUUAUUGGGCGUAAAGCGCGCGCAGGCGGUCCUUUAAGUCUGAUGUGAAAGCCCACGGCUCAACCGUGGAGGGUCAUUGGAAACUGGGGGACUUGAGUACAGAAGAGAAGAGUGGAAUUCCACGUGUAAGCGGUGAAAUGCGUAGAGAUGUGGAGGAACACCAGUGGCGAAGGCGACUCUUGGUCUGUAACUGACGCUGAGGCGCGAAAGCGUGGGGAGCAAACAGG
RNAcentral lists this ribosomal RNA (253 nucleotides) under uncultured bacterium. Its description in RNAcentral is "partial 16S ribosomal RNA". It matches the Rfam family "Bacterial small subunit ribosomal RNA", at positions 524 to 776 of the family's 1533-position model. The record is from RNAcentral.